Molecule: RNA transcript, 3377 nt
Organism: Sapajus apella (tufted capuchin)
Lineage: Eukaryota; Metazoa; Chordata; Mammalia; Primates; Cebidae
Gene: AFG3L2
Gene name: AFG3 like matrix AAA peptidase subunit 2
Exons: 18
Source: RefSeq, a predicted model, not a curated record
CCCGCCUCCAGUCACGCCCCCCACGCUGCUCCGUCAGCCCCGCCUCCGGUCACGCCCCUCACGCUCCUCCCGUUUGGCCCCGCCUCUAGCCCAGGCGGAGGUUGAGUCCGGCCUACGAGAGGAGACGCCGACGUCAGCGCGCCGGCACUGGGCUGGCGGAAGGGACGCCGCGUCGGGAGCGUGGGCUCCGCCGUGAGCCGCGGGGCCGCGGCGCUGCCUGGUGGCCUUUCGUCGAGCCAAGCCCGCUUCCCGAGGCGGCCAGUCGCCGCCCGCCCGCGCCUGCGCAGCGCCCGGGGCCAAGCAGGCCACGCCGGCGGCCAUGGCGCACCGCUGCUUGCGGCUGUGGGGCCGGGGCAGCUGCUGGCCCCGCGGCCUUCCGCUGCUCCUCGUGCCUGGCCGCGUGGGCCAGGGCGAACGGCCCUGCCUCCGGACGCUUUAUCGAUAUGCUACAACUCAAGCAAGGGACAGCAGAAAUUCUCUUUUGACAGAUGUAAUUGCUUCUUAUCAAAGAUUCUGUUCUCGACCGCCAAAAGGAUUUGAAAAAUACUUUCCUAAUGGAAAAAAUGGAAAAAAAGCUAGUGAACCUAAAGAAGUUAUGGGAGAAAAAAAAGAAUCAAAGCCAGCUGCUACCGCACGCUCUUCUGGAGGAGGAGGUGGUGGUGGAAAACGAAGUGGCAAGAAAGAUGAUUCUCACUGGUGGUCCAGGUUCCAGAAGGGUGACUUUCCAUGGGAUGACAAGGAUUUCAGGAUGUACUUCCUCUGGACUACUCUUUUCUGGGGUGGAGUCAUGUUUUACUUCUUGUUCAAGAGAUCCGGGAGAGAAAUCACUUGGAAGGACUUUGUCAAUAACUAUCUUUCAAAAGGAGUAGUAGACAGACUGGAAGUCGUCAACAAGCGUUUUGUUCGCGUGAACUUUAUACCAGGAAAAACUCCUGUUGAUGGGCAAUACAUUUGGUUUAAUAUUGGCAGUGUGGACACCUUUGAACGGAAUCUGGAAACUUUACAGCAGGAAUUGGGCAUAGAAGGAGAAAACCGGGUGCCUGUUGUCUACAUUGCUGAAAGUGAUGGCUCUUUUCUGCUGAGCAUGCUGCCCACGGUACUUAUCAUCGCCUUCUUGCUCUACACCAUCAGAAGAGGGCCUGCUGGCAUUGGCCGGACAGGCCGAGGGAUGGGUGGACUCUUCAGUGUCGGAGAAACCACUGCCAAGGUCUUAAAGGAUGAGAUUGAUGUGAAGUUCAAAGAUGUGGCUGGCUGUGAGGAGGCCAAGCUAGAGAUCAUGGAAUUUGUGAAUUUCUUGAAAAACCCAAAGCAGUAUCAAGACCUAGGAGCAAAAAUCCCAAAGGGUGCCAUUCUCACUGGUCCUCCAGGCACUGGGAAGACACUGCUAGCUAAGGCAACAGCUGGAGAAGCCAAUGUCCCCUUCAUCACCGUUAGUGGAUCCGAGUUUUUGGAGAUGUUUGUUGGUGUGGGCCCAGCUAGAGUCCGAGACUUAUUUGCCCUUGCUCGGAAGAAUGCCCCUUGCAUCCUCUUCAUUGAUGAAAUUGAUGCAGUGGGAAGGAAGAGAGGAAGAGGCAACUUCGGAGGGCAGAGUGAGCAGGAGAACACACUCAAUCAGCUGCUGGUGGAGAUGGAUGGUUUUAAUACAACAACAAAUGUCGUCAUUUUGGCCGGCACCAAUCGACCAGAUAUCCUGGACCCUGCGCUGCUUAGGCCAGGGCGCUUCGACAGGCAGAUCUUUAUUGGACCACCAGACAUAAAAGGAAGAGCUUCUAUUUUCAAAGUUCACCUCCGACCACUAAAACUGGACAGUAGCCUGGAGAAGGAGAAAUUGGCGAGAAAACUGGCGUCUUUAACUCCUGGGUUUUCAGGUGCUGAUGUUGCCAAUGUCUGUAAUGAAGCUGCGUUGAUUGCUGCAAGGCACCUUUCAGAUUCCAUAAAUCAGAAACACUUUGAACAGGCAAUUGAGCGAGUGAUUGGUGGCUUAGAGAAGAAAACGCAGGUUCUGCAGCCCGAGGAGAAGAAGACUGUGGCAUACCACGAAGCAGGCCAUGCGGUUGCCGGCUGGUAUCUGGAGCAUGCAGACCCGCUUUUAAAGAGGUACCAGGAUAAUUCAAGGGGGAGGAAUUGCCUUAUCUACGGGUGGUUCUGGCAACAGAGAAUUCACAGGAAAAAAGGUAUCCAUCAUCCCACGUGGCAAAGGACUAGGUUAUGCUCAGUAUUUACCAAAAGAACAAUACCUCUAUACCAAAGAGCAGCUCUUGGAUAGAAUGUGUAUGACUUUAGGUGGUCGAGUCUCAGAAGAAAUCUUCUUUGGAAGAAUUACAACUGGUGCUCAAGAUGACUUGAGAAAAGUAACUCAGAGUGCAUAUGCCCAAAUUGUUCAGUUUGGCAUGAGUGAAAAGGUUGGGCAAAUCUCCUUUGACCUCCCACGUCAGGGGGACAUGGUAUUGGAGAAACCUUACAGUGAAGCCACUGCAAGAUUGAUAGAUGACGAAGUACGAAUACUUAUUAAUGAUGCUUAUAAAAGAACAGUAGCUCUUCUCACAGAAAAGAAAGCCGAUGUGGAGAAGGUUGCUCUUCUGUUGUUAGAAAAAGAAGUAUUAGAUAAGAAUGAUAUGGUUGAACUUUUGGGCCCCAGACCAUUUGCAGAAAAAUCUACCUAUGAAGAAUUUGUGGAAGGCACUGGCAGCCUGGAUGAGGACACCUCGCUUCCAGAAGGCCUUAAGGACUGGAACAAGGAGCGGGAAAAGGAGAAAGAAGAGCCCCCGGGUGAGAAAGUUGCCAACUAGACGCCCAGAUGGAGGCCAUCUCAGUCUGUCCACUGUGGUUUCAGCUGGUGCGUUAUUUCAGCUCUGGCUUUCAGAAGAACGGGAAUACUGCGCUGAUUUUAGCCAGCCACUGGCCCAGCUGAAAUGAUGGGGAGGAGUCCUUAAUCCUUUCAGCCUUGGAGGUCACAGUGGGUGGCAGGUGACUUUCCAGAGGCCUUGAGGGAGAUGCAUACUGUCCCACAGCCUCGUUGGGCUCUCAGAUGGGCUGGAAAGAUUGAGCCCAGAGCAGUCAGGCUGGACCCUGUGGCAGGGAUCGUUGCAUUGGGCUCUUGGUGUGUGGGAAGGGAUGCUUUCUCUUUGUCGCCCACUGUUCAUUCCUGUUUCUCCUCAGUUCCCCUGUGCACUUGGGCUGUGAAAUUAAACUGGAGUCCUGAUAAGAACAUUUUAAUUUGAUUUGUUAUUUUAAAGAUUGAAUCCAGAUCACUUGUUGCUGUCUUAAUGGGAUGGUUUUCUACAGAGAGCUGUAACAUAUUUAAAAAUAUGAAUGUAUUAUGUAAAUAUGGCUUCUUUACAUCAAAAAUAAAAUGUCAACACUGUACGUUUUUUCCU